AUGAGGAAUGUUUUAUAUAUAUACAUAUAUUAUAUCACUGUGAAUGUCCAUUUCAAAAGAGGUAUUAGUACCCUUUUUUUUCCUUUAAUCCGAUGGAUCGUAUCUAGUUGGAAAAGUACGAAUUAUCACCCUGAGCCGGCAGAGGCUGACUGCAAAGAUCGGCGACCGUGGAGGCAAGGGUGGCGCCGUCGAGGACGAGUGGCGCGCCAGCGGCUACGAGCCUCCUCUUUCUCCUAUCCCCCUCUUCCCUCUCUCUCUCUCUCUCUCUCUCUCACGUGGGGGCAAGCGCGGGUCCAGGUCGAGCGGCGCCGGCGGUCGGCGUCGAGCGGCGACGGCGGUCGACACGCGGAGCCGAGCGACGUGCGGUGGUGUAGAAAGUGGAGGCGGGAUGUCGGUUGCCACAGCUGCGGCCGAAGCGGAGGCGGAGGCCGAGGCAAUGGCGGCGUUGAGGCUCCUCGCCGGUUUCCUCUGGUUCGCCCUCCCCAUUGCCACGCUCGCCACCGGCCGGAGCCACCCAGCUGUGCUCGACGCCGCUCGCCACCAAUCUCCGACCUCCGCCUCCACUGCUCGCUGCAG
This 576-nucleotide long non-coding RNA is filed under the name Oryza sativa Indica Group (long-grained rice). RNAcentral's name for it is "lncRNA OsPr106_04g0001120". The record is from RNAcentral. Lineage: Eukaryota; Viridiplantae; Streptophyta; Magnoliopsida; Poales; Poaceae.